Molecule: ribosomal RNA, 377 nt
Filed under: uncultured bacterium
Lineage: Bacteria
Description: bacterial SSU rRNA
Rfam family: Bacterial small subunit ribosomal RNA
Source: RNAcentral
AUACGUAGGUGGCAAGCGUUAUCCGGAAUUACUGGGCGUAAAGCGCACGCAGGCGGCCAUUUAAGUCUGACGUGAAAGCUCCCGGCUUAACUGGGAGAGGUCGUUGGAAACUGGGUGGCUUGAGGCAAUGAGAGGGGUGUAGAAUUCCUGGUGUAGUGGUGGAAUGCGUAGAUAUCAGGAGGAAUACCAGUGGCGAAAGCGGCACCCUGGCAUUGGCCUGACGCUCAUGUGCGAAAGCGUGGGGAGCGAACGGGAUUAGAUACCCCGGUAGUCCACGCCGUAAACGAUGAACACUAGGUGUGGGUGGUGUAACAGCCAUCUGUGCCGAAGCCAACGCGCUAAGUGUUCCGCCUGGGGAGUACGGCCGCAAGGCUAAA